RNA transcript from Vigna angularis (adzuki bean), 1230 nucleotides. RefSeq lists it as uncharacterized. The record is from RefSeq and is a predicted model, not a curated record. The transcript has 4 exons. Lineage: Eukaryota; Viridiplantae; Streptophyta; Magnoliopsida; Fabales; Fabaceae.
AAACAGGAUGUGCUGAUUUUUUUCUCUCUCUUAACCAUUUGGAUAUUUAACUUUAGAUUGUGCAAGUUGUGCUAUCUAUAUAGCUUGUCACUUGCCACUCUCAAAAAUUUAUUGACCACGAGUUCCUUUAAUCGCUUAAGCUUAUAGUCUACUUUGAAGGGUAGCUUUUCUAAUAUGCACAUUGAAAUUUACUCUUAUUGGUUGGAAUUUUUGUGAAGUUAUAUGUACUAUUGAAAGUAUUGACAAUGACUGCUAAAGGAAUACCAGUAUUUUCGGCAGUUUAAGCUCUGACAGAGUGGAUGGUGUUUAGCUCCCUUAGUUUCUUCUCAUUUGAAUAUUGGGUGUUUAGAAGAGCUUAUACUGAGCUAAUUUUAAAGUGACUUAUGAAUUUCUUAUGAGUCCCUUUAGCUUAUUUCAAUUAGUUUCAAGGUGAAUAUAAACAUAAUCUCUUCUUAUUUUAGUACGCUUAUUAUAUAGGCUCUUAUGUUAUAUUAAUCUUGAAAAAGAACUUAUUCUGCUUAUCCAAAUGCACUUAUAAUAUUUCUAGACUGUUAGAGCCUAGUAUAUUGAAAACUAGAAAGUUGUAGCAAGUUGGCAGUCAUGCCGACAAUCAUGGAAUCAAAGUUCCUCUUAUUAAAUUCAAUAGUUUGACUAAUUUAGGGUUUAAAAUCUGAGUUAGAAAAGGCUUCACCUACUUUUGGCCGUGGUGCUACAUACUUGAAGGAAUUACGCAUUAAGGCCUUACCAAGACAUAUCUUUCAAGCGAAACACCGACUCCAUUGGUGAAAUAUAGAGAAGAAGAGUUAGUUAAUUUGGGAGGAGAUGGAACGGGAUAACGUAGAGAGUGGGAGAGGGUCUAUGACUAUGAUGUCUACAAGAUAAGGAUGAAAAUCAUGUGCGUCCUAUUCUUGGAGGGUCUGACACCUUGCCUUAUCCUUGUAGGGGGAGGACUGGUAGAAGACCAACAAGGAAAGAUCCAAACAGUGAGAUGAAGCUUUUGGACAUUUGAAGUUAGUGGCCCCAUAUUCCCUAUUUUUUCUCCUUUUCUUACAAAUUAUUAGGAAGUUUAUAUAACUUUGUCAUUUUGUUUUUAUUUUCUAUUUAUUUAUUUUGUGUAUCUUGUAUCAGUGCUAUGCUGCACUAUAGUUAUUAAACGUUCAAGAAUACAUUAAAAACAUUUUGUUUUAUCUCUCUACUGAAAGAGUGAGAUAGUACAUUUAAAAAGGUUUA